RNAcentral lists this ribosomal RNA (253 nucleotides) under uncultured bacterium. RNAcentral's name for it is "partial 16S ribosomal RNA". It matches the Rfam family "Bacterial small subunit ribosomal RNA", at positions 524 to 776 of the family's 1533-position model. The record is from RNAcentral.
UACGUAGGUGGCAAGCGUUGUCCGGAAUUAUUGGGCGUAAAGCGCGUGCAGGCGGUCCCUUAAGUCUGAUGUGAAAGCCCACGGCUCAACCGUGGAGGGUCAUUGGAAACUGGGGGACUUGAGUGCAGAAGAGGAAAGUGGAAUUCCAUGUGUAGCGGUGAAAUGCGUAGAGAUGUGGAGGAACACCAGUGGCGAAGGCGACUUUCUGGUCUGUAACUGACGCUGAGGCGCGAAAGCGUGGGGAGCAAACAGG